ACGACCUUACUUGAACAGGAUCUGUUCUAUAGGUUCGUACCACUGUAUCCUUGAGCUCUAAGGAGACAGGAAACUAGGUUUGGUUGAUGAAGUAUGGCUGUGAAACCGGAGCGUGAUUAACAGCCCCAGUGGUCCUUAGUCGGCCAUGGAACUGUAGAGGAUCGUUCUCAUCCUGCACGCAGGUCUGGGUUGGUUUCAUAGUUGUCUGACAGACU
This is a small nucleolar RNA of Lycium barbarum (goji berry), 215 nucleotides long. RefSeq annotates it as small nucleolar RNA U3. The transcript has a single exon. NCBI's taxonomy places the organism in Eukaryota, Viridiplantae, Streptophyta, Magnoliopsida, Solanales, Solanaceae. The record is from RefSeq and is a predicted model, not a curated record.